GCUCAACAUCAUCUCUAUCAAAAUCAUCGAAACAGUAAUCACAUCAAGAUAAUACUAUUAUAGAAGUACACCAUUUAUUCAAAGUAUAAAAAAAGGGCAGCCCGGUGCACUAAAGCUCCCGCUAUGCGCAGGGUCCGGAGAAGGGCCCUACCACAAGGGUGUAUUGUACACAACCUUACCUUACAUAUCUAUCGGAGACUGUUUCCAAGACUUGAGCUUGAGACCUCCUGGUCACAUGGCAACAACUUUUACCUGUUACUCCAAGGCUCCUCUUGGAUGGAUAUAGUAAAUUACCUCUAUUUUUAUCGUUCUUAAAGUGUGUGUCACGUCAAUAGCAGACAAGUAAAAUAUACUUUCUUAAAGUGUGUGUCACGUCAAUAGUAGACAAGUAAAGAUAGACUUUCUUAAAGUGUGUAUCACGUCAAUAGUAGACAAGUAAAGAUAAACUUUCUUAAAGUGUGUCACGCUAUGUUGCUCGGACUCAUCAAAAAUGUUGUCACACCCUUGUCGGAUCCUCCAAAAAAUACACUAUAUUUGGAGUACCCGACACACAUCAGUAGAUAUUUUUGAAGAGUCCGAGCAACAUAGGUGUCACGUCAAUAGCGGACAAUUAAAGAUAAGACAUUCCUAAAGUGUGUGUCACGUCAAUAGUAGACAAGUAAAGACAGACUUUCUUAAAGUGUGUGUCACGUCAAUAGUGGACAAGUAAACAUACACAUUCUUAAAGUGUGCGUCACGUCAAUAGUAGACAAGGAAAGACACACUUUCUUAAAGUGUGUAUCACGUCAAUAGUAGACAAGUAAAGAUAAACUUUCUUAAAGUGUGGUGUCACCAAGGGCGGAGCUACACUUGGCCGAGGGGUUCAUCCGAACCUCCUUCGGCGAAAAGUUUUACUAUUUAUAAUUUUUUAUGUAUAUACAGUAGAAGUUGAACCCCCUCUCUUCGACACGUUCAUAUGUUUACUUCUGAACCUCCUUCACAAAAAUCGUGGCUCCACCACUGGAUGUCACGUCAAAAGUGGGCAAGUAAAGAUAGACUUUCUUAAAGCGUGUGAACAAGUAAAGAUACACUUUCUUAAAGUGUGUCACGUCAAUAGUAGACAAGUAAAGAUAACACUUUCAUAAAGUGCGUGUCACGUCAAUAGUGGACAAGUAAAGGUUGACAAAGACAGUAUCUUUUAUACAAAAAAUCAAGAAAACCUCACCUGUUCAACAUAACAGUACUCACAACAAGAUAAUAUGAUAAUGCAAGUACAUCAUUGUUUCUUAAAAUGCUUGUCACGUCAACAGUGGACAAGUAAACAUGAACGUAGACACACUAUCUUUUAUACAAAAAAUCAAGAAAACCCCUCACCUGUUCAACAUCAUCUCUAUCAAAAUCAUCACGAUUUUGACUCCCAUAAACUCCAGCAGUCUCAGCAUUCUGUCUGAAAUUAAACCAACAUGUUGUUCUUGAACCACAACUUGGUCCUAACUCCCUAGCUACCUUACACCAUCUUCCAAUUCUUGAAACACCACCAAUAAAACAAGAAUUCAAUUUUACUCUAGUACACAAAUUAUUGGAUCUUGAUAAACAAGAAUUAGUUAAGUUUAGAGUAAUGGAAGUAGUAGUAGUACAAGGAAUUGAAGCCAUUGUUGUCGGUGGUGGUGGUUAAAAGUGAUCUUUUUGAACCUCAAAAAUAUCAACUACCUUAUCUAAAAAAAAAAAAAAAAAAAAAAGGUGAACUACCUUUUUUAAAUUAUUUUUUUAAUUGAAACUUUCUACGUGACAUAUUUAAGAUCAUGUUUGAUAUAUAUUUGACGUAACUUUAAUUUAAGAUUUACGAGAUUUAAAAGUUCAGAUUCUGAUAUUAUUUAUUGAGAAAGUUUGAAGCGUAUUUAUUGAUAAUCGAUCUGUCCAUAUAUAGGGCGGAUCGAUAAACGAAUGAUAAAUGAUCUGUCCAUAUAUAAGGCGGAUCGAUAAUCGACUGUCUAUAUAUAGGGCGGAUUGAUAAUCGAUCUGUCCAUAUAUAGGGCGGAUCGAUAAACGAAUGAUAAAUGAUCUGUCCAUAUAUAGGACGGAUCGACAAUCGAUCUGUUCAUAUAUAGGGCGGAUCGAUAAUCGAUCUGUUGAAUUGAUAAUCGAUCUGUCUAUAUUUCGAUCGGAUAGAUAAUAGAUUUGUCUAAAAAAUGAGUCAUUUCCCUAAAAAAAGAAAAAAACUUGUAAUCUAUUUAAUUAAAAAGACUUGAAAAGGUCAUUUAAUAAAGAAUCACGAUAUUAUUGACUGAUUCGGGCGUAUAUGCAGAAAUCUUUUUCAUUAUUUUAGCAGAUCUUUAAAAAAAAUGACUUUAUAUCGAAUAAAAUAUAUACUUCGACUUUCUUGUGCUAGAUUUAGGUCGAAAACAUAAUUUUUUAUCUUCUUAAACUUUAUGUUAAAUCAAAAUAUAUCAUUCUUUUUUAAAAGGAGCAAUUACUAUGUUACUUUUUGAUAGAAUAAUUUUUAAUUUGAACUUUUUAUGUAACAUGUUUAAGACCACGUUUGAUACAUUUGAUGUAGAUUUUCAAGAUUUAAAAGUUCAGAUCAUGAUAUUAUUGAUCGAUUUAAACGUAUAUGCAGAAAUCUUUUUCAUUACUUUAGCGGAUCAUUCAAAAAAAAAUUGACUUUAUAUCAAAUAAAGUAUAUACUUCGACUUUCUUGUGCUAGAACUUUAGCUCGAAAACAUAAUUUUUUAUUUUCUUAAACUCAAUACUAAGUCAAAAUAAAUCAUUCUUUUUAUAACAGAGGAAUUACUAUAUUGCUUUUUGGAUAGAAUAACUUUUGAAUUUCAGUUUUUUUCCGUGACAUGUUUAAGAUCAUGAGGUAACUUUAAUUUAAGAUUUACAAGAUUUAAUAUUUCAGAUUCUGAUAUUAUUGACCGGUUUUGACGUAUAUGCAGAAAUCUUUUUCAUUAUUUUAGCGGAUCUUCCAAAAAAAGAAGACUUUAUAUCGAAUAAAGUAUAUACUUCGACUUUCUUGAGCUAGAACUUUAGCUCAUAAAUAUAAUUUUUUAUUUUCUUAAACUCGAUGCUAAAUAAAAAUAAAUCAUUGUUUUUAUAAUGGAGAAAAAUGAACAAUAUACAUAUAAGUAAUUUUGGAUGGCAGACAUUGACAUGAAAAUCAAAGUGGCGCAGCGGAAGCGUGGUGGGCCCAUAACCCACAGGUCCCAGGAUCGAAACCUGGCUUUGAUAAAGUUUUACCACUUUUUUUCAUUUUUCUUUUUUUGAAAUGGAAAAUGAAUUAAAAAAAGCCCAAGAUAUAAAAGAAAAAACAUAAACGUACACCUUAAUUUAUCAUAUUUACAUAAAUUACUACCUUUACGAAGUAAUUAUAAAAAUUUCAACUAAUUAUGUAUCUUCAGUGGAUGUAUCGAGAGCUAAUUAUGUAUCUCGACAGACUCAAAAUCGAAAAAAAAUGUAUUAGGAGCUAAGUAAUUACAAGAAUCUCAACUAUUUAUGCAUCUUCGUUGGAUGUAUCGACAGUUAAUUAUAUAUCUCGACAGACUCAAAAUCGAAAAAAAAUGUAUUGGGAGUUAAUUAUGUAUCUUUACAAUGGAAAAAAAAAAUGUAUCUUCGUUGGAUGUAUUAUGCAUCUCGACGGACAAAAAUAAAAAAAGAAUGAAUGAAGAGCUAAUUAUGUAUCUCGCUAGACUCAAAAUCGAAAAAAAAAAUGUAUUGGGAGCUAAUUAUAUAUCUUUACAAAGUAAAAAAAAAUGUAUCUUCAUUAAAUAUAUUAGGUAUCUCGACAGACACAAAAUUAAAGAAAAUAUAUCGAGAGCUAAUUAUGUAUCUUUACAAAGGAAAAAGAUAUUGUCGUUGGAUGUAUCAGGAACUAGUUAUGUAUCUCGACAGAUUCAAAUUUGGAUAUUCAAUAAUCGUAUAAAAUAUCGAAACUUUUUGAAAUUAAACUCCAAACUGUCGGAUUUUUUUCUAUAACUAUAACUAUAACUAUAACUAUAACUAUAACUAUAUAUAUAUAUANNNNNNNNNNNNNNNNNNNNNNNNNNNNNNNNNNNNNNNNNNNNNNNNNNNNNNNNNNNNNNNNNNNNNNNNNNNNAUAUAUAUAUAUUUUAUUUUUCUUUCAAUAUACUUGUGACCCCACUAAAGAAAUAUUUCAUCUUUCACAUGACCACCUCAAUAAAUCAAUAAAUAUAAAACAAGAAAUUACAUUUAUUAAUUUCAAGAUUUUGUAAAUCGGUGCUUUCCAUCCGAGCAACUUUCUCUUAUCGUAAUUUCAAGAUUAAAUCUUAAAUUAGUCUCAAUUGUCACUUUAGAAGUUACUAAUCUGUUGGGAACGCUGUCACCUUAAUGGAUCCUGCAACGCGCGAUCCAAAUUAGUCGAGGCUCCAAUGCGGACACCGAACAUCGGAUGGGAAACCAAAAAAAAAAAAGUAAUUGAUAAGUAAAAAUACUCACGAAUUCAGAAUUUAAAAUUAAUCGGUUCGGAGUAAAUAUGAUCAUAUGAUAUAAUUUGUUUUAUAUUAUGUAAUGUGUAUUUAUAAUUCGACCUGAAAGUAAUGAAAUCAGUUGAAACUACAGAAAAUUUGUUCGGCAUAAUACAUACACGUGCCCAAUGGCGGAGCCAUCUUUGCUCCAGUGGGUUCAUCUCGUCGACGGAAAAUUAUACUAUUUUUACACUUUUUUUACAUGAUUAAAAUAUUUUUUUAGUGGUGGGGCCCUUUUCCGAAUUUUGCGUACAAAUUUUAUAAGUAUGUUGAAUCUCUUUGACUUCUAUGUAUUUACGAUAACAAUCAUAUCUAGGAUGAUCUUCUUCCCACAUUUACUUCUUUAUAUUUUGACUCCCUUUAGUGAAAGUUACGACUCCCGGUAGCCAUUGAAAGUUAGGUUCAAUAGAGAAACACCAACUUUUCGACUCUUUUUAGUGAAAAUUCUAAGUCCACCACUGACCGUAAGAUGUUAGGUUCAACAAUGAAAACAAAAGAUUACAUCGGCUUCUUCGUACAUUUACUUCUUUAUACUUUGACUCCCGUUUAACUUACCGUAAAUUCCGACUCCACCAUUGACCAUAGGAUGUUAGGAUCAACAGCAACAACACAAGUUGUCAAACAAAAGGUUAAACACAAACCUAUCACCGUCCUAUUAAAAGGGCAGUCCAGUGCACUAAAACUCCCGCUAUACACAGGGUUCAGGAAAAGGCUGGACCCCACCACAAGGGUGUAUUAUACGCAGCCUUACCUUGCAUUUCUGCCUGAGGCUCCAAUGCUUGAACCCGUGACCUCCUGGUCACAUGACAACAACUUUACCGAUUACUCCAAACACAUCACCAUCCUAUUAAAAGGGCAGUCCGGUGCACUAAAGCUCUCGCUAUGCGCAGGGAUCGAGGAAGGACUGGACCCCACCACAAGGGUGUAUCGUCCGCAACCUUGCCUGAGGCUGCUUUCGAGGCUCAAACCCGUGACCUCCUGAUCAUACGACAACAACUUUACCAGUUACUCCGAACUCAUCACCAUCCUAUUCAAGUUAUAAUGAAUGCACAAGUAGUUAGAAGUUGAGCAAAUUUAAAGGCUUUUUUUUAACUACAAGCACAUGAAUAGGGUGAUCAUAGGUCCUCCCUAUCUUCAUUUAAGCCUAUAGUUUUCACUUUAUAACCAAAAUAACCAAUUCACAUUUCAUAAAAAACACUUAAUUUUCGACCUUAUAGUAUAAUUGUUCCACAUAUAAUGCAAAAAUCUGAGUAUACUGAGAAGAAUGCUACAAAUAAUCCUCUUGUUGAAAUAGGCAGCAGAGGGACCGUUGGAUCGCUCGUGUUGCGUGAAAUCGAGUACUUCAAUAAGCUACAGCUAAACCAUCACAAAGUCUGUUGCUCGGACUCUCCGAAAAUGUUGCACACUACUUUUGGAGGAUCUGACAUGCAACGUCCGCCGACAUUUUUGAGGAGUCUGAGUAACAUAGUUCAUAAGCCACGUCAAGUUGCGUUCGUCGCCGAUCCCGAAAAGAAAAGGAGGACUAGUAAGCUGAUGAUGCCUAGCCUGUGUUCAAUGGUAGAAGUUGCAGAAUGUAAUACACCAGCUGCUAUUUCGAGAUUCACUUACACGAAUCUAAAGGCUGAUGUUGCGCGGACUCUUCACUUUUGAUGCCACAACGUGUAGGAUUCUCCGAAAAUACACUACUUUUGGCGAAUCCGACGUGCACCUGCUGACAUUUUUGAAGAGUCCGAGCAACAUAGAGUUAGACCGAGCUCUCCGAUAGCUUUGUGAAACCGAGCUUCUUUAGGCUAUUUUUUAUAGGAAUAGCCCAAGUUCUGUCCAUACUUUUGCAUUUUACGUCGACGAUUUCCACCUUGUAAUGUCCCUUUCUGUCAGUUUUCAGCUGGCUAAUAGGAGUUCCAUCUACCGACAUGUUUUCUGAUUCUAGUAUUGGAAUUUGAUGUGUUUUUCUGCUGUUGUGUUUCGUCUUCCUUAACGAUUCAGGGCUUUUAUUGCUAUGCUUACAUGUUGUUCCGCUGCUGCUCGCUUCGUCGCUUGAUGUUCUCGGCUUCAUUCGCUUUGGACUAAUCGCGCUACCGGCAAUGAAACCGCAAACUGUGGGAGAUUUAUUCCUAGACGAUGAUGGCGUCUGAGAAGACGGUUUUUUGGAAUCUAAUUCUUUCGACAUCAAGGUGCUGACUUUCCCAGUAGUUCCCACUUUAAUCGAACCUCCACCACCCUUGAUGGCUUCUAAUGUCUGCGCCAUGAUUUUUCAAAUUUUCUCGACUUGAUGUAGCAGAUGUUUAGUUAGAACCUGCAAGGAAGGAGCAAUCGGAGCAUGAAUGAAUACAUUUGUAUGACCGGAUCAUGAAAUCGCAGUUGAAAAGCUCGUUAUCUAGAUCAAAAACACACUCAGAGAGCUGUAUUAUCUGCGAUGGAAAGGCGAAAAAAUGCAGCAGCCGCCAUGUCGGAUCCUCCAAAAUGCACUGGUUUUGGAGAAUCCAACACGUACUUGGCGAUAUUUUUGCAGAAUCUGCACAACAUAGGUAAUCACUAUCCAUAGAUAGUCAUUGGAGGGCAGAUACAAGAUACAACUUCGACAUAAUCGUGAUCUGGAGACCAUCUGUAAAACUUAAAAUUUGUAAUUAUGGGACAUCACCUUGACCUAUGUUGCUCGGACUCUUCAAAAAAUGUCAUUGGGCGUGUGUUGGGUCCUUCAAACUUAGUGCAUUUUUAAAGAAUCCGACACCGGUGGCAACAUUUUUGGAGAGUCCGAGCAACUUUGACGCCAAUCCUAUCAGCCAAAAGAACAAUCGAAUAGGGGUGAAAAUCAUGUUUUGCCUCGAUAGUCCAACAAAAACAUCACUCAUGAGAGCAAAAACAAAGGGAUGACAUGAGGUCGUAUAGCAGACAACAAGUCGAACGAAAAUCAUACAAGUUUUAUAGCGACCACGAAACCAGUAAAACGCCAAAAUUUUAAACAUUUCCUAGCAAAAAGAACUAGAGAGAAAUGUAGUAGAUCUGGUGCUAUCAAAUUGAGGAGGAGAAAUUUGCAGCUAUGUUGUUAGGACUCUUCAAAAAUGUUGUCCGGUGAAUAUCGGAUCCUCCAAAAGCAGUGCAUUUCUGGAGGAUCUGACAUGGGCGAGGCAACAUUUUUUGAGAGUGCGCGCAACAAAAGUUAGCAGCAUCCAAACCCAGUAACGUUAUAAGACCUGCUUUGUGACCCGACUAAUUUGGAUUGACGCCAAAAGUUUCACUUUGGGAGUAAAACGCUCCCGAUCAAAGGAGUACUUACUAUUCUACCACAAGUCCACAACCUCCCGUGGUAGGCUAACAACUAUAAAUAUCACUGCGAUCUAUAUCCCGUUCAAGAUUAUAAGAGGAACCCAAAAUUGAGUAGGAACUCCCAACGAGAAACUAUGAAAAGAUUAGUGAUAUAAAGACUCAUAUCCCAAAUAUUCAAGAUUACGAAAGGAACCCAAAAUUGAAAAAAGAAAAAAAAACACAUAAAAAUCGAAACUUUUCAAAGUCGAAAUGAAUAAACAGAUCUAAAUUGAUGAGUUAGGGGAGGAGCAACGGUUUUAUUACGAGGUUCGACAGAAUCUAGUAGCUUCAACUCGAACCAUGUAUGAAUCCAAUAAGCUGCCUUUUUCUAGAAUCCAGAACACAUAAAAAAAAAAAAAAGGUAGCCCGGUGCACUAAAGCUACUGCAAUGUGCGGUUUCCGGGGAAGGACCCCACUACAAAGGUGUAUCGUACGCAGUCUUACCUUGCAUUUCUACCAGAGGCUGUUUCCAAGGCUUGAACCCGUGACCUCCUGGUCACAUAGCAGCAACUUUACCAACUUAAAAUUCUAAGUCCGCCUCUAAAGUGAGUAACCACAACGCACUAGACUUAGGAACCCAACGAGAAACUAAUGAAAAAGAUUACUGAUAUCAAAGUUAUUAAUACGAUUAUGACUCGAAAUUCACCAUGAGAAGUAGCAAAUUAAGCUCAUAAAAGCGUUAUAACAAAAGGGUCAAAAAGAAAGAUUGUCAAACAAACCCCACAAAAAACAGAAACUUCAGGUUCGAGCUCUGGGUAUGAAAUCUUAAUCCCUAUUUAGUCGCGCUCUAAUGCUGAUACCAGACACCGGCAAACCAAAAAUACAAUGUAAGAUUAUAAGAGGAACACCAAAAUUAGCAAACAAGUAACACCUAAAAAUUGAAACUUUAUAUAGUCAAAUGAAUAUACAGAUCUAAACUUAUUGAAACAAGAAACUGUGAAAAAUACUACUACUAUGUAAGAUUAAUGAGUAUUCCCCGCGCUCCAAUAUAGGUACCGGACACCUGAAUCCCAACAAAUUGGGAAAAAAACACAUAAAAAUUGAAACUUUAUAAAGUAAAAUGAAUAGACAGAUCUAUCUAUUAUUGAAAAUUUACCAAGAAAAGUAGCAAAUUGACUUCUUUAAAGUGUUCUAAAAAAAAAAAAAAAGGGUCACAAAGAAAGACUGCUAAACAAACUCCACAAAAAACAUAAACUUAGGUUCGAGCUCUGAAUAUGAAAUAUUAAUAAGUACUUAGUCGCGCUCUAAUACAGGUACCGCAUACAUGUAUCCCAAGUACUAUGCAAGAUUAUAUAACAGGUACACCAAAAAUUGGAAAAAAAAAAAAACCAUAAAAAUUGAAACUUUAUAAAUCUAUUAUUGGAAAUUUACCAGGAGAAAGUAGCAACUUGAGCUCUUUAAAGUGUUAUGAAAAAAAGGGUCACAAAGAAAAUUUGUCAAAACAAAUUUCACAAUAAAGAAAUAUGCAAAACCAACUAUGCCAUAAGCAAAAAGUAGGAUAAUAAUAAUAAUAAUAAUAAUAAUAAUAAUAAUAAUAAUAAUAAUAAUAAUAAUAAUAAUAAUAAAUACUAUUACUCCAUUUUUAAUGGAAGUUCUCAAUUGACUUCAAAUUUUCAAAAUUUUGUGUCAAUUUCAAGGUACCUUGUUGUGCUGCUACAUGAUGCAUCAAUCUCUAUGUUCUGCUGGGGCCUAUGUACAUUACAUUUGAACAAUGUAGGGAAUAGAGUCGGAAAUAUACCUAAAUAUUAGUGAAAUUUGUAAACUUUGCGGGGCUUCCUAUGACGCCCCUCGACCAUUUAUUAUCGUAUUUCUGUGGCAUAUAUUUAUCCAGAUAGAUCACUCUCAGUGUGCGUGUAUUCACGCAGUGGUUUGGCUGGAUAAAUAUAUGUUACGAAAAUAUGAUAAUAAAUAGUCGAGGGGGUCAUAGGACGCUACGCAAAAUUGAGGCGCGUUACAACAAAUUUCAUAGAAAUUUAGGUAUAUCUGAAACAUUUUUCCCAACAAUGUAGCUUGUUUGAAUGGUUGUUAGCUAUUGUAUUAUAUUUUAUUGUAUCAUAUCGUUAAAUUCAUGAUUAGGUUAUGAUGAAAAAUCUUAUUUUGUGUAAUAAUGGAUUUGGUGUAAUCUUAUUUGCCCGGGGUUCGGGCGUGUUUUAGAUCGAAAAUCGACAGGCAGGUGGAUCGCAGGUGGGCUGUGGAUCGGUCAGGGGUGGGCCGGUGGGGUUGUUUGAGUGGUCAAACGGGCGAAACGGCGUGAAUGAGCCAUUUUCAGGCCAAAUCAGUGGGUGUUAGCACACAGUUUUCUGGGCAGGGACGAACCUACGUUAUAAUUUGAAGUGCUCCGGCACCCACUAAACUCGACGUGAAAUACGUAUAAUUGCAUAGAAAAUAUAUGAAAAUAAGUAUAAAACAUACAAAAACACCCAGUUUAAUAAAAAAUUUGUUGGGUGCACUAUCCUUAAAUUCAGAGUCCGCCCACUGUUUUUGGGUAUGUUCGGAUCCAGACGUGUUUUCGGCUGAAAAUCGACAGGCUGCCCGUGGAUCGGCCAAUGGGGUUGGCGGGGCCGUUUGAAUGGUCAAACGGGUGAAACAGCGUGAAUGUCUUUCAAGUUGUCAUGUUAUCUACUUUUCUUGACGAUAUAUCUUUCAGAUCGUUGAUUAUUGACAUUAUGUAACGACAGAAGCUAUACAAUUUAUUCAUAUAUUAUAUACAUUAAAACAAUAUAAUACAAUAUAACAUGAAAUUGUCAAUAUAGCAACAUGUUAAAGGAGACAUGUCACAUCUGACAGGUUAAGCUAACCUUUGAAUUAUUUUUUUUAGUUUUUGUUUGUUUGUUUGUGACUUCUUUUUAAUGUUUUUGUAUUUUAUUUUUUUUAUUUUGCCAAUUUGAAAAUGUCAAAUUGACAUGUUUUGGCUAUUAUUUAAAUAUGGGGUUGUAAUGGCUAUUUUAUUAACUUGUCCCCACAAUGAGCAUGUGCCUCAAAGUGCUUAGCUUUGGGCUUUCGAAUGGGCUGUGGCUUAGGCCAUCAAUUGGGCCAUAUAGCCCAAAUAUUUGGACUUAGAAUUUGAUAGGCCCAUGGGGACACAAAUUCUGCUAUCACAAAUUAUGACGUAAGCUCUACCACUUAGGUCGAUCAUCGAUGUUAAGAUGGCGCCUUUUCAAAACACCACGAAGGUCGUCCUCCUAAGUUACGAACCUUUUGGAUCGCUCAGAGACUUCAUUUAGGUAAAUAAACAUUCUAAUUUUGAGUAUGCACAUCUAAAUAUGUUAGCUCGUCUUCGCUAUAUCAGUUAAAUAGUCCAAAUUUACGAAAUAAUCAUCUAACCACCUCCAAAAUUUAUGUGUCACGUCAGUAUCAAGUGUCACGAAACAUCGGGAAGACCAGUUGGAGUAUUUAGUUAUCAGUUGAGACUAAAUUGAAGUGUCUAGUGUCCACGAUAAACAACACUGAAGACUAGAUAAAAUAUUUAGUUGCCAGUCGAAACUAAAUUAAGGUGUCUAUGUAUACACUUUGAAACACUGAGUCCUUACUUACCAUCCGAGAUCAAAUUUAAUUAGGAAAAAUAACAUAAACAUACACCUUAACUUACCAUAUUUAUACAAAUUCCCAUUCUUACAGAGUAAUUAUAAAAAUCCAACUAAUUAUGUAUCUUCGUUAGAUGUAUUGAGAGCUAAUUAUAUGUCACGACCCAACUUUUCAGUUCAUGAUGACGCUUGCCAUAACCCACCAGUAGGCAAGCCAACCUGUAGUUCGGAACGGCUAGUAACGGACUACUUAAUAACAUAAGAAAAAGAAUGCGGAAUAUAUGAGAUAAAGAUCAAUACAUGGAUGAAUCUCAAAACCUGGUGGUAUCAGUACAAGAGCUUCUAAACAUAAUAGGGUACAAAAGUGAGAUGUCAAGAAGAAAUACACUGAUUCAACUUACCUCUGAAUACAAUUUAGAGACUAGUCUAAUACAUAGGAGAGAAAUAAGUAAUACUCCGAAUGUCAGGAGCUCACUCUAAGUUCGAGAUUGUUUCGCUGAAGUUUUUAAUCGGUGGCCAUUUGGAACCAACGAAGGCUUCUGAACAGGGAGUUGACUCUAAAAACCAAACGAAUUGCCCGGUAACCGAACCCUCAGUCCCAGCAAGUCAUAAAUGACUUGGGGGCAGCUAUGAAGAAGCUCAAACGGUGAAGAUAAGCAUGAAUAUGAAAAAUGACCAGAAGGGUCAUUACAUUAUGUAUCUUGACAAACCCCAAAUCAAAUAUAUAUACAUCGGAAGCUAAUUAUGUAUUUUUACAAAGAAAAAAAUGUAUACUCGUUGAAUGUAUUAUGUAUCUCAACAGACCCAAAAACGAAAAAAAUGUAUCGGUAGCUAAUCAUAUAUCAUUACAAAGAAAAAAAUAUCUUCGUCGAAUAUAUUAUGUAUCUUGACAAACACAAAAUUGAAAAAGUAUACCGAGAAUUAAUUAUGCAUCUUUACAAAAAGAAAAAAAAUAUAUCUUCGUAAGAUAUAUCAGGAGCUAAUAUGUAUCUCGACAGAUCCAAAAUCGAGAUUUACAGUAAUAAUACAGAAUAUCGAAAAUUUUUGUAAUUAAACUCCAAACUAUCGAAAUUUACCCUGGCAAAAGAGUAUAGUGAAACAAACUCAAAAAUAUUUGGNNNNNNNNNNNNNNNNNNNNNNNNNNNNNNNNNNNNNNNNNNNNNNNNNNNNNNNNNNNNNNNNNNNNNNNNNNNNNNNNNNNNNNNNNNNNNNNNNNNNNNNNNNNNNNNNNNNNNNNNNNNNNNNNNNNNNNNNNNNNNNNNNNNNNNNNNNNNNNNNNNNNNNNNNNNNNNNNNNNNNNNNNNNNNNNNNNNNNNNNNNNNNNNNNNNNNNNNNNNNNNNNNNNNNNNUCCUUUCACUUUCAACCACUUCUUCUUCUUCUUCUUCUUCUUCUUCUUCUUCUUCUUCUUCUUCUUCUUCUUCUUCUUCUUCUUCAACAAUGGCUCACUAAUCUCCACAAAAAUCAACUCACAUUGUACCAAAAUCCCCCAAAAUUCCCAUAAAAAAUGGCAUCUCAAAUACCCAAAUCUUCAAAACCCACAAAACCCUCAACCCCAUCAUUGUUAAUCCCUGCAAAAUCAUCAUCCUCAUUAUCGACUCAUUUAGCUAUGAUUGAGCUAAAACAAAGAAUCUUGACAUCAAUUUCUAAGCUAUCUGAUAGAGACACUCAUCAAAUCGCAGUUGAAGAUCUCGAAAAAAUCAUCCAAACCCUCUCAAACGACGGCGUUUCAAUGCUCCUCAACUGUCUCUACGACGCCAGCAGCGACCCCAAACCCGCUGUCAAGAAGGAGGCAGUCCGUCUACUCCCAACGGUAUGUGCUUCGCAUCGCGACUUCGCGAUGAUCCAUUUGGGGAGAAUCAUUGGAAAUGUGGUUAAGAGGCUGAAAGAUUCGGAUUCAGGGGUGAGGGACGCGUGUCGCGAUGCGAUUGGAUCGUUGGCGGCUUUGUACUUGAAGGGAGGUGAAGGGGAGAAUGUGGGGUUGUUCGUGAAGCCGUUGUUUGAAGGGAUGAAUGAGAAUAACAAGACGGUACAGAGUGGUGCGGCGUUGUGUAUGGCGAAAAUGGUGGAAUGUGCUAGCGAUACACCUGUAUCGGCGUUUCAAAAGAUGUGUACGAGGAUAUGCAAGUACCUUAACAGUCCGAAUUUCAUGGCGAAAGCUUCUUUGUUGCCUGUUGUAUCGAGCUUAUCGCAGGUGAUUUCAAUGCUAGCUAAUUGUUUGGCUUAAUAUUGGUGUACAUGUUUAUUCGUUUGUGAAAAUGUAGUAGUGUUUAGCUUCUUUGUUGCCUGUUGUUUCGAGCUUAUCGCAGGUGAUUUCAAUGCUAGCUAAUUCUGUAUCUUUGUUGGUUCUCGGAGCAUUUAUAUCUCUCUGACCUUGUUCCGCAAAAAUGAUUAUUAGGGGAUUCAGUCGUUCCCUAAGCUGCGUGUGCCUUUAGGGUGCAUUCAAUUAUGAAGUGCAAUUAGCAUAAUUUGAACAUGUAGGUGAUGGUAACUGGUAAAGUUGCUGUCAUUUGACCAAGAGGUCACGGGUUCAAGCCUUGAAAACAACAUAUGACAGAAAUGCAAGGUAAGGCUGCUAACUACAAACCAUUGUGGUUGGACCCUUCCCCGGACACUGUGCAUAGCGGGUGCUCUAGUGCACUGGGCUGCACUUUUCGAACAUGCUGGUGACGAUCCCGCAUCAGUGUGAGUAUAGAUAGAUCUAAAGUAACUAGAGGGCUGAAUUGGGUCUAAGAAGGCAAAAACACAGGGAGGAACAUUUGUUUUUGUUGUUAGUUAAGUGGUACUUAUUGGAAAGGCUGUGCUUUCUAGGAUAAGAUUUCUUGAUGUGGAAGGAAGGAUGUGAGGUCCAACUUUGAGUGGAAGAAUAUCCUAAAAAUAUAUCCCUAAAUUAAUAAGAGAAUAAAGAGAGGGCUUAUAUUUGUGAAAUACGUUAGGAAUAACAUCACAUUAUCAAUCAAGAAAAAAUAAUGUUUCGCAGAUGCAUGGAUUAAUCAGAUCAAAUUAUGUUCAAAGACUGCUUUAUUCAUCCCAUUACAACAAGGACUUCUCUACUCAUGAACUCUCGGCUAUUCCAAAGCUCUUGAUGCAUGACCUCUAGGUCCAUUCUAGAAUACUUUAGUCUCCAAAGUGAAGAGAGACACUGUUUAGUUACCUUAUAAAGUAAAAAUAAUGUUAAGGUGUCAGCUGUCAAGAUCUGUGAACAGUGAGGACCCCACAUUCUGCGUAUCUAAAACUAGAGACCGUAAGUUCAAAAGUUUUUGAUGUAGGAACAAGGUAUAAAUCAAAUCAACUGUAGUAUUAUUAUAGCACAAUUUGAGCAUGGUAUGUGGGUAAUUCACCAUGUAGACUGAUCGGAGAAAGGAUAGGGAUAUGUUUGUUUUUACUAAAGACACUUUUUUAAGCGUACUUAAUAAAGAAAAAAAAGGCAUUUCCUUAAGAGUGUGGUCUGGUUAUACCUUUUCAUUAUAGGGAUGAGGUCUGAUUCUACCAGGCAUGUCUCUAGUUCUUUUAUUUUUCAUACAUGUUUGGCUACUUGUAAAUUAUUCUUCAGUAAUGAAUCUUGGUUGCUUAUGGUAGGAGUGGCUGAGGACUCAUCUUUUCAUAUUAGAUUUAUUGUCCUUAUCCGUAAUUGGCAAAACCAUAUCAGUGUAUGAACUUCACCUCGAGAUAAUGCCCAUUUUGAAUUUUUCUUUCUUCUUGUGCAUAAUAUUUGGCAGCAUAUAUAAUGGAAACUUACGUGUCAUCUUCAUAGCGGUUGUGCAAUAUUUAAAGCCUGCAGAUAAUAUAUUAUUGCAGGUAGGAGCUAUAGCACCGCAAAAUUUGGAACCUUUAUUGCAGGCCAUUCACGAAUGCCUCGGCAAUACAGACUGGGCAACUCGUAAAGCUGCAGCUGAUACAUUAAGUGCCUUGGCGUUGAAUUCAAGCAACUUGGUAGCAGGAGGAGCCACUUCCACUUUAACCGUGCUUGAGGCUUCUCGGUUUGACAAGGUACCUUCCUGUAGUAAUUAUGUAAUUUAGUGAUAGGGUAAUUUCUUAGAUUAGUUUGAGGGUAACAAUAAUCCUAGUUUGGUAAAAGCUUGGUCAACAAUAAUGAGAUCAUGUCUACCCAACGUUGCCUUUAAGAGAUUUGGAAUGAUUUAGAUCUGGUAUAAGUUUGGUGCUGAAGGCGAAAGUAGAAAGUUCUAAAGUUUGUGGAUGAUCUGUAAAUGAUUGUACCUUAUUUACGUCAUGUAAUGUAAUAAUAACACCUCUGCUGGCACGAUUAUCAUGGAGCAUCUUCAAGCUUGAAUCUAAAAAAUAUAAACUGAAUUCUGACAAACCAAAAUGAAAACAUGGGCGAGAUUAGAUUUAUCCAUAUCCUUGAACUUGAAGUUUGCAAACAGAUGCCAACGAUGUCCCAAAUGUUGAAUUUGUGGCUACAUUCAACUCAGCAAAUAUAUGUUAUUUGUUUGUCAUUAGAGGUAAUUUUGUUUUUGCGAAUCUAAAUUGUAUCUGGGUUUUGCAGAUAAAACCUGUGAGAGACAGUAUGUUGGAGGCUUUGCAGCACUGGAAGAAAAUUGCAGGAAAAGAAGAUGGUGCAACAGAUGAUCAGAAAGCUGCAUGUCUUGGUAAGCAGGGAAGCAUGAACUUUUAUAUGCUGCUUUAAAUCGUAGGAUAUCUUUCCUUUAAUGGUAGCAUCCUUUCAGAUGGUGAAACUUCUGAAUCUGCCGGAUCAUCAGAAAAGAAGGACCUCCGAAAUGCUGGUGAGUGGAAUGGUACUUUGGUAUUGGAUUCAUCUAAACCUUUUUCAUAUGAUUUCAUUUCCGAAACUAAGGUAACACCUUUUCUGAUAAAACAGUGGGCCUAUUAAAGAAGAGAGCUCCUGCCUUGUCAGACAGAAAAUUGAACCCAGAUUUCUUUCAGAAACUUGAAGCAAGGCGUUCAAGUGAUUUGCCUGUGGAAGUGGUUGUCCCUCGUCAAUGUCUUAAUUCAUCGAAUGCACCAGCUGAAGUAGAGUCUGAGCCCGACAAAGCAGAAACAGGACAGGGAAUAUUGAGGAAAGGCCAGCUUGAUGCUAGGUAUAGUAGCACGGAGAGUCAAACUUCUGGGGUAAGUGGCAGAGAACAUGAUAUUGAUGAGGGAGAUUUGACUCAGAGGGAACAAUCGAGUUACCGUGCUGGUUUUGCAAAAAAUGCUGGUCCACCUGAGGGGUUUAUGACUAACAAAGGAAACUGGCUUGCCAUUCAAAGACAAUUGUUACUUCUGGAGAGACAACAGGCUCAUCUGACGAAUAUGUUGCAGGUUUGCCUAAUUAGUUAGUUUUUUUAAAAAAUGGUUUCAGUAGCUACCUACUUUUCUACCAACAAUUCUCCCAAAUUGCAGGAUUUCAUGGGUGGAUCUCAUGGUAGCAUGGUGGCUCUCGAGAAUAGAGUACGUGGCCUUGAAAGAGUCGUUGAAGAUAUGGCACGUGAUUUAUCUCUUUCAGCAGGUAGAAGAGGUGGUACUUUUACGGCGAGAUUCGAUGAAUCUCUUAAUAGGCCUCUGGGUAAGUAUAAUGGCUUCCAUGAUUACUCAAGUACCAAGCUAGGUAGAGGUAGUGAAGGGAGCAUCGCAUUUGGCGAGAGGUUUGUACCAUCUGACGGUAAUUCAUCAGGUAUGAGGGGAAGGAGUCCACCACGUAGAUCUGAUAAUCCUGAUGCUUGGGAUUUUCAUUCGUAUGGUAAGAAUGGGCAAUCAGGCUCUAGGAGAGGUAUAGGUAGUGGCUCCAUGGAUGCUAGGUCAUCUAAACCAGAAAACGAGAUAGAUCAGGUUGGCACCAGGAGGGGAUGGGCUAAAGGAGCAGGACUCGUUAGGUUUGGUGAGGGGCCUUCUGCCAGAAGUAUCUGGCAAGCCUCGAAGGAUGAAGCAACCUUGGAGGCAAUCCGUGUGGCUGGUGACGACAAUGGAACUGCUCGAGGUGCGAGAGUAGCUAUUCCAGAAUUAGAGGCUGAAGCACUAACAGAUGACAAUAAUGUGCAAGAGCGUGAUCCAGUUUGGACUUCCUGGACCAAUGCAAUGGAUGCAUUUUCUGUUGGUGAUAUGGAUUCAGCUUUUUCUGAAGUUUUGUCUACUGGAGAUGAUUUCUUGCUUGUGAAGCUCAUGGAUAGAUCAGGCCCAGUGAUUGAUCAACUGUCAAAUGAGGUGGGAAGUGAGGCUUUACAUGCUGUUGCCCAGUUUCUUCUGGAGCCAAACUUGACAGACAUCUGUUUAUCGUGGGUCCAACAGGUACAAUUUUCUCUAGUGACCUGGUAACAGUUUUUUUGACUCUAUGUCAAUAUAGUUUUCUUCUCCCAGAGUAAGUUGUGAAAGCAGAGAAUCUGUGCAGAUGAUUACUAGAAAAUUUCAUGUAGUUUUAGUUUUUCUUUUAGGGUAAGAGAAUAGACGUUAUUGAGUUCCUCUGAGAAACAUGUAGUAUGAUUUACUGUGUCUAAUGACCUAUAUUGAUUGGUAUCCUGUUGUUGGUUUGAGGUAAAAACAAUUUGGACUUUUUGCACCACUGGCUUUCGAAUUCUUCCACGAGACUACUAAUGUGUCAUGGCUGAAGGAACUAAAUCUAUGGGUAGAUAUGUCAUGCCGUUUGCCCUUUCUUAACAGUCAUGUAGAUAUGUGAGGAAUACCAUAUCGAUUGCAUGCAUUAACAUUUAGAUUUUGUUUGGAACCUGCUGCUACCUUGUGGAACCAUCGAGAAAACAACUAGCAGUUCAAUCUCGUUUUACCCGAUAUUGAGUUUUGCCUCGGAACAUGUCUGAAAGUCAAGUACCUGUCCUUGUUGGGCUAUAAGUCUGUUCAUUCUGCACUCCAAGACCACAUAGAGCAAAAGAACUUGGUAUGGUUUAUAGUUUCCGUAAACUCUAGAAAAGACUGCAUAGUUGGUGUGAAAUGAGUGUUACGCUCUAUUGAUUUUGCAAAAACUUAAGAAGCUAAGGACAUUGUUACUAAUUGAACUACCCACAUAUCCGGUUCCAUCUCCCAUUGAUGAGAAUGCAUCAUAUGAAAGAUAAGAGUUGAAUAUGAUACAUCAACAAACUGCUCAAUAACAUUGCACAAGUUCACCAUAAGUCAAUGGAAAAUAGAAGUAUUUAUAGAGUUGUCAAAGGCAAAAGCAAAUAAAAGCACUAAGGUUUGUUGUGGCGUAAGCACAUUAAACGUGGGUUUUACUGAAGAAAAGAUCUAAUAAAAAAAGAAAGAGAUAUGUAUGUAAUGCAAGAAAGAAUAACUGAGUGAAUAAUUAUUUGGAAAAAAUGAUUAAAGAUCUAUAACUAAUUGAAUAAGUGAAGUAUUAAAUGAUGUCAUUCAAAUUCAAAACCCAUUUAAAAUUUCUGAUUUAGAUGUAAAAAUGCUGUUUUAUUUGUCAGUCCUUAGUUUUCUUUAUAAAAUUUUAGUUUCUUAUCCAUAAUCACAAAAAGAGUUCACAAUAUUUUUAAAAGUUAAUAUAUCACUUAUAUUUUGUUGUCUAGUGCUGUCCUAGUAAAGAGAAAAACGAUGGGCUAUAUGAGACCAUACCUUAGUGCCUGCACCUAAAAUGCCACUUAAGCUGGCGAAGCGCCCAACCUGAAUUUCACCUUUCUUCAGGUCUCAUGAACUUUUCAGCCAAUCCUUUAAGAACCGUUUAUCUGUUUUGAAAUGCUUUUCUCGUGCACAGCCUAGAAGAGGAGUUAAUUGAUUAUUUAGCUUUCUUGACAGUGUGGCUUAUUUUCAUUUUUCUUUGCUUUCACUACUUAUUUUCAGGGUGUUGUGUGUUCAAUGCUAUUAUUUAGGUAAUGGGCUCUGAACCAGUGUCUUUUUUGCUUGCUUGCUCUCGUUAAGAAAAUAAGCCACACUAUUAAGAGAAUGAACUGAAGUUGUUUCCCUUUGGAUAUAAGCCCUCUAUAUUUACUAAUUUAACAUUGCUGUCAGAUUGAGCUAAAGUAAAUCUUGACUUUUCUGUAACAUGCUGGUAAAUGCGAUAUGAUCUGUCAGUUUUCCUUUUAGUUUGCCGCUUUUUUUUUUUUUAAAAUAUAAUUUCUCUAAUGGAAUAUUGUUCCUUGAAGUGUUUCAUUUUGUUUUCAAUAUUAUGCAACCGAAAGAUAAUGUGAACAUCAUCUUUACUGUAAUAAGACAAAUGAUUAAUAUUUCAGAUUAAUUUCUUUGAAGGGGGAUGCAGAUUACAAAAUACUUCAAGUAGUAUCAUCCACGCUUAUCCACUUAAAAUCUAAACCUAAACCUUAUAUCAUCCCCUCAUGAUUUUGAAUGAUGUUGCUCGGGUGAAUUUCAAUUAGGUCGCUUGUGUCUGGACUGCCAAACUGUUCUGCUUUUAGUUUGUUUUGAUUUAUGUCAUUGGAAAUAAUGUUUGUUUGGAUACGGUGUAUUGAAAGAAUUUGUUUUGUUUGUGCUGGAACAAUUGUUCUUGGAAGAGCCUUUUGGUUGCAUUUCAUUUUCCGAAAAACAAUAUCCGGAUUAUAGUUUUCUUCCAGAAAAUAAAACAACUAUUUUACAGGAAACUACUAUUUUCUUUAAUCGAGCAGGCCUUAAGUUUGAUUAUUUCGCUCUCACACACACACCCCUCAUCUAAGUUGAGCGGACUCUUCAAUUUCGAUGCAACACCCGUGUCGGAUUCUUCAAAAAUACACUAGUUUUGGUGAAUCCGACAUGCACCCAUUGACAAUUUUGAAGAGUCCGAGCAACAUAGCCCCUCAUAAUCCAUGUUGAAAUCCUCCGUUGCAUCUAUGAAGUGCGUACCACUUAAGCCAAAGUUUGAUAUACAGAAUUGAGUUCUUUUACUGACUAUAUCAUGUCUUUUUUCUUCCAAUUGUAUUUUCAGUUGCUAGAAAUCGUCAUAGAAAAUGGACCUGAGGUAGUGGACAUUCCUAUGGAAGUGAAAAAAGAGCUGCUGUUAAAUUUGAACGAAAUUUCAUCAUCAGUAGACAUACCCGAGGACUGGGAAGGUGCAACACCAGAGCAACUGUUGUUGCAGUUGGCAUCUGCUUGGGAUAUCGAUCUACAAGAGCUGGAGAAGUAACUGUGCGCUACUCAUUCACCUGUUACAUGAAGUUAGUGUCUCGUGAAUUUUCUCCCCGGCAAGCUCAUUUCCCAAUUAUUCACCCAGGCAUGAUGUUAGUGUCAUGAACUUUCUCUGGGGCUCGCUCAAUUUACCUGGAAGUAACUCUUUUCCCAGUCUGCUAGUUUAGUUUGGAGUCAUUUCGGCACUGGUUCAUAUUUCGAGAUUUGAUGUAAAUUGGAAAUUCGUGUACUUGGGCAGUCUGCUUCGCUUGUAAAUCACAAUUUUGCUGUCAUGUUUACGAAAAUUGUACUCCUAAUCGCAGAUUGUUCUUGUAUCUCGACAGUGAAGUGGUCGAUGAAAGUUAUAUAUAAGACUUCUGUUUUCAUAUAUCGAUGAGUUGUCCAUUUAACAUUGAGAUAUCGAACUUUAGUCAUAUAUCUUUGAAUAAACUUUGAAAUGCUACAUGACUUGAGUAGUCUAUAUGCAUUUUAUGUACAUUAAAGCCUUCUAAAACUUUAACACAAUGUUCAAAAUCUGAAGAAUCUUCACAAGAAAAAAGUGUUUGUUAUGUUUAGAAGGCUUUACUUUUGUUAUUUAUCGACAUCAGCUUCAUUAGUUCCGGUGUUAUCUGUAUUACUUUGUGAUGUUGUUUUAGGUGUGUCUUCUGCAGCUUCAUCCUCGUCCUCGUCCCUGUCCUUGUCCUUCUUCCUGUUCCCGGCUAGAAACGUCAGCGCGGACACUACAUCGCCGAUCAAUGGCCGAACACUGGCUUCGUUUUGCAGGCACAUUGCUGCAAUUGCUAGUGCUUGAUACAGUCCUUUCCUUGGAUAGUUCCCUUCUAGCAAUGGAUCCACCAUUAAAUGAAAAUUUUUCUUGUUCUUGAACAGUGGUUGUGCCUGUCAAGCAGUUUGUAUGAGAGUUUAGCAUCCAUACACUAAAAAAAACGACAGCCCGGUGCACUAUGCGUGGGUCCGGGGAAGAGUCCCACCACAAGGAUGUAUUGUACACAACCUUGUUUUGCAUUUCUGCCGGAGGCUAUUUCCAAGGCUUGGGCCCGUGACCUCCUGGUGACAUGACAACAACUUUACCAGCUACCCCAAGGCUCCUCUUGAAAAGGCUCUCGCUAUGCGCAGGGUCCGGGGAAGGAUUCCACCACGAGGGUGUAUUGUACGCAGCCUUACCUUGCAUUUCUGCCGGAGGCUGUUAACAAGGCUUGGACCCGUGACCUCCUGGUCACAUGGCAGCAAUAUUACCAGUUACCCCAAGGCUCUCCUUGAAAAGGCUCCCGCUAUGCGCAGGUUUCGAGGAAGGGCCUCACCACGAGGGUGUACUGUAUGCAGCCUUACCUUGCAUUUUUGCCGAAGGCUGUUUCCAAGGUUUGGACCCGUGACCUCCUGGUCACAUGGCAGCAACUUUACCAGUUACUCCAUGGCAUCCAUACACUAAUAGCGAGGUUUUUUCCCCGUACUAUCAGGUCACCUAAAAGAUAAAUAUAGGUGAACUAUCUAUAAAAUGUCAAGGCAAGUUGCCUAUUACAAUAGGUUAACAUACAUUGACAAUCAAUGUGUAUGAGUUUGGUGAAACACUAAGAAGGUGUGGGAGUACAGCCAAAGAAAUCUAUAUAAUAUGUACAAAUUAUUAAUUCAGAAACCAUAAGUAACUCGACAAGGAUAGAUUCUCGAACUCAUUAAUUUUAAAUCCAGGAUCCGCCUUUGAUGAUUAGAGUUGUUGUUUAGUGGCAAGGAGGUCAUAUGCUUAAUCCGUGGAAACAAUCUCUUGAUAAGACUAAAGGGCUUCACGCUGGGUCCAGGGAAGGGCCGGACCACAAGGGUCUAUUGUAAGCAGCCUUACCCUGCAUUUCUGUGAGGCCGUUUCCACGAAACGUAAGAUAAGACUGUGUAAGAUAUACCCAAUGUGGUUCAGGCCUUCUCCGAACCCGCGCACAACGGUUCAUAGUGACAUUGAAUUCUUUUAACUUACCCACAGAACAAGAUUUUGUUCUUCACUUGGUUUUGAGGUGUCAAUGACUCUUCUACCUGUGAUCAUCUCCAAAAACACCACUCCAAAGCUAUAAACAUCGGAUUUCGAGGUCAAUUUUCCUGUCGAAGCAUACUCAGGAGCGCAAUAACCAUAGGUUCCCAUGACCCUGGUGGAUACAUGACUCUUGUCGCCCGUUGGACCUAGCUUGGCAAGUCCAAAAUCGGAGAGCUUCGGAUUGAAGUUCUCAUCUAAUAGUAUGUUCGAUGCUUUAAAAUCGCGAUAAAUCACAGGCGGACUAGCUUUAUCAUGUAAGUAUUCGAGUCCUCUUGCUGCACCUUCUGCAAUUUUCAUCCUUGUACUCCAAUCAAGCGGUUUUUUAUCCGGUCCAAAUUCUUCCGGAAAAGGUAAAUACAGUUUGUUAUUAGUCAAAACGUCUAACUUCUAUACACUGUCAAUGUAAAGUUCAGUCUCAUGUAAUAUAUGAUAUAACAAUGUGAAUCUAUGCUGCUCGGAUUCUUCGAAAAUGUACUAUUGUUGGAGGAUCCAAAGUGCAUCUGUUGACAUUUCUUAAAGAGUCAGAACAACAUAGAUGUCAACGACUUGACAGACACAUAUUUCAAAAUAAUGUAAAUCUAUGUUGCUCGGAUUCUUCAAAAAUGCACUCCCACCUGUCGACAUUUCUCAAGAGUCUGAGCAACAUAGAUAUCAACGACUUGACGGACACAUAUUUCAAAAUAAUGUAAAUCUAUGUUGCUCGGAUUCUUCAAAAAUGCACUCCCACCUGUCGACAUUUCUCAAGAGUCUGAGCAACAUAGAUAUCAACGACUUGACGGACACAUAUUUCAAAAUAAUGUAAAUCUAUGUUGCUUAGAUUUUUCAAAAAUGCACUACAUUUGGAGGAUUCAAAGUACACCUGUCGACAUUUCUUAAAGAGUCUGAGCAACAUAGAUGUCAACGACUUGACGGACACAUAUUUCAAAAUAAUGUAAAUCUAUGUUGCUCGGAUUCUUAAAAAAUGCACUACCACCUGUCGACAUUUCUUAAGAGUCUGAGCAACAUAGAUGUCAACGACUUGACGGACACAUAUUUCAAAAUAAUGUAAAUCUAUGUUGCUCGGAUUCUUAAAAAAUGCACUACCACCUGUCGACAUUUCUUAAGAGUCUGAGCAACAUAGAUGUCAACGACUUGACCGACACAUAUUUCAAGAUUUUGUGACGAAAAGUAAGAAGUGGUGAUGUAGUAAUACGUUACCGAGAAGAUGAUCUUCUAGUGAACCGUUUGGCAAGUAUUCAUACACUAAUAUUCUCUGAUCACCAUCUGAACAAUAUCCUACCAAAUUGACAAGAUUUGGAUGAUGAAGAAGACUCAAUAUGAGAACCUCCACAAGAAACUCUCUAGUUCCUUGGAAGCCAUUCCUGUCGAGUUGCUUCACCGCGACAUCCUAGCACAAAAACAUUCAGUCACACAACUAUGCUUCAGUCCUAAACAAGUUGGAGUUCGAAACAAGUAGUGUCGUCAGACCUUCUAUAACAACAAUUUACUGUAAUGGUUAAGCUUUCUUUUGGAACCAAUGUUUUAUGUUAUGUCAUAUUAUAUAUUCAACAUUUCACUAAAAGAAAAAAGGGUAGACUGGUGCACUGAAGCUCCCGCUAUACGCAGGGUCUGGGGAAGGGUCCGACCACAAGGGUGUGUUGUACGCAGCCUUACUUUGCAUUUCUGCCAGAGGCUGUUUCCAAGGCUUGAACCCGUGACCUCCUGGUCACAUGACAGCAACAACUUUACCAGUUACUUCAAGGCUCCCCUUCAAAAGGGCAGCGCGAUGCACUAAAGCUCUCGCUAUGCGCAAAGUCUGGGGAAGGGCCUCAUCACAAGGGUGUAUUGUAAGCAGUCUUACCUUGCAUUUCUGCCAGAGGCUGUUUCCAAGGCUGGAACCCGUGACCUCCUGAUCACAUGGCAGCAACUUUACCGGUUAGUCCAAGGCUCCCCUUCAAAAGGGCAGCCCGGUGCACUAAAGCUCCCGCUAUGCGCCAGGAUCCGGGGAAAGGCAUCACCACAAGGGUGUAUCGUACGCAGCCUUACCUUGUAUUUCUGCCAGAGGCUGUUUCCAAGGCUUGAACCCGUGACCUCCUGGUCACAUUACAGCAACAACUUUACCAGUUACUCCAAGGCUCCCCUUCAAAAAGGCAGCGCGGUGCACUAAAGCUCUCGCUAUGCGCAAGGUCUGGGGAAGGGCCUCAUCACAAGGGUGUGUUAUAAGCAGUCUUACCUUGCAUUUCUGCCAGAGGCUGUUUCUAAGGCUUGAACCCGUUACCUCCUGGUCACAUGGCAGCAACUUUACCCGUUACACCAAGGCUCCCCUUCAAAAGGGCAACGCGGUGCACUGAAGUUCCCCGCUAUGCGCAGGGUCCCGGGGAAGGGCCUCAUCACAAGGGUAUAUUGUAAGCAGCCUUACCUUGCAUUUAUGCCAGAGGCUAUUUCCAAGGCUUGAACCUGUGACCUCCUGGUCACAUGGUAGCAACUUUACCGGUUACUCCAAGGCUUCCCUUCAAAAGGACAGCCCAGUGCACUAAAGCUCCCGCUAUGCCCCAGGAUCCGGGGAAGGACCUCACCACAAGGGUGUAUUGUACGCAGCCUUACCUUGCAUUUCACUAUAGUAAACAAAAAAGUAUCCCGACAAGCCAAGGAGAAAGAUAAAAGAGAUGAGAGGGAAGUACUAGAUUCUUGCUUUCAAUGUUGCCCUUGUACACUCUUCCAAAGCCACCUUCACCAAGCAAACGAUCGUUGUUAAAGUUUUGAGUGGCAAUCUUCAACUCCAGGUACGAGAAUAUCUCAGCGGAAAUGCUGCCUUUUCCGAGUUUUGCUAUUUCUUCUGCUAUAUACCUCCUUCUGUUGCUAUCUGCACACACCACGUUUACAAUCUUGAUUCGUAAAAUGUGAAUUACAAGAAUGUUUAUCAUGUGAACGUCCAAGCAAGCAUUACAUAUAGUGGUUCGACUUCAUAUGGUGGUUCGACUAUUUCUUGUGUUGGCUGCUAACAUAUCACAACCUUCUUCAAUGAACUUCCAACAUAAGCGUGUUGGAAGUUCAUUGAAAAGGGUUGGCACAGAUUACAACCAGCAUAGAAAUAGUCGAACUUGAGUUGAAAAAGGUUGCAAUAGUUUAACAACCAACAUAAAAGGAGUCGAACAAGUUAUUCAAUGAACUUCCAACCAAGCAUUGCAUAUACUGGUUCGACUUCAUAUGGUGGUUCGACUAUUUCUUGUGUUGGCUGCUAACAUAUCGCAACCUUCUUCAAUGAACUUUCAACAUGAGCAUAUCAUGUGGUGGGUCGACUAUGUUUAUAUUGGCUGCUAACAUCUCGCAACCUUCUUCAAUGAACUUCCAACAUGAGCGUGUUGGAAGUUCAUUGAAAAUGGUUGGCACAGAUUAACAACCAGCAUAGAAAUAGUCGAACUUGAGUUGAAAAAGGUUGCGAUUGGUUAGCAACCAACACAAAAGUAGUCGAACAACCUUCUUCAAUGAACUUCCAACAUGAGCAUUUCAUAUUGUGGUUCGACUAUUUCUAAGCUGGUUGUUAAUCUGUGCCAACCCUUUUCGAUGAGCUUCCAACACGAGCAUUUCUUAUGGUGGUUCGAUUAUUUUUAUGUUGUCUACUAACCUAUCACAACCCUUUCCACUGACUUUCAACGCGACCAUUUCAUAUGAUCGUUCAACUACUUUUCUACUGGCUAUCAAUCUAUCGCAACCCUUUACCAGCACAAGUUCGACUAUUUUUUAUGCUGGUUGUUAAUCUGUGCCAUCCCUUUCCGAUGAACUUCCAUCAUGAGCAUUUCAUAUGGUGGUUCGACUAUUUUUAUGUUGUCUACUAACCUAUCACAACCCUUUCCAAUGAACUUUCAACGCGAGCAUUUCAUAUGAUGGUUCAACUAUUUUUCUACUGGCUAUCAAUCUAUCGCAACUCUUUGCCAGUAUCAUGAGUUAAAAGGGCAGCCCGGUGCACUAAAGCUACCGUUAUGCGCAGUGUCCGGGGAAGGGCCCCACUAAUUGUACGCAGCCUUACCUUACAUUUCUGCCAGAGGCUGUUUCCAAGGCUUGAACCCUACCCCAUGACCUCCUGGUUACAUGAUAACAACUUUACCAGUUACUCAAACGCUCCCCCUUCACCAUUAUCACGAGUUGUGACCGGUAAAUCAUGUCGGAAUCCAAAUACAUGAAGGCAAAAUAUCAACAACAACAACAACAAACCCAGUAUAUUCCACACAUAGUCGGGUUUGGGGAGGGUAGAAUGUACGCAGUCCAUACCACUACCUCCCCCCGGCUUAUGAACAUAUUGUAAAAAGUUAAAAGACAAUGCAAUGCCAACAAAAAUAUAUGAACAAAAAAGAUAGAAAAUUUUACCUGUUCUAAAUGAAAGAUUGUCAUAGGAAGGUUGAGACUUGUGAUUUUUAUUGUUUUUGUAUUCUUGAUUACUUUUUUUCAAAGUUUUUUUAUUUAUUUUUUCCUCCUUUGAAACACAACAUGUAAAACAAUUCAUCUUCAUUUUCAUUUUGUUACUCAAUGCCAUACCUCUCUAAUAUUUUUUUUACACCACAAUAUUGGUUUUUCUGGGGUUAAUGUUCUCAGGGAUUUAUUUGUCCAAAUUUAAUAAUGAAAAUUUCAAUAUAGGACAUCAAUAGGAAAAAAAAUAAUAAAAUUGAUAAUCAACAUGAAUUUAAAAAAAAAAAAAUGAAAUCCCUUUGAUCCCAGAAAGAACCAGUUUUUUCCUGGUCUUCCUGGAAAUCCCCAAAAAAAAAAAAUGUGUUUUUUAAAUUUUUAUUUUUUUUGUUGGCAAAAAUCUGAGAAACAACAAAUUUGUUUGGUGUGAAAAUAAUGUACUAAAUGCAUUUUAUUCUUUUAUUGGAGAUUAUUACACUUGUUAAAAAAAUAUUUGUUUGAAAAAACAGUUAAAAGUAUGACUUUUCGAGAACUAAUAAUUCUGAAAAGGGUUAUUUGAAAAGUUAUUUUGUUUUAUUUGAAAUAUUAAUUAAUUGUUCUGUCGUUUUGUUUUAUGUGUCACAAUUUCCUUUUUAAUUUGUCAGAAAGAAAUGAUGCAUUUCCGUAUAAGCUUGUUGCUCGGACUCUCGAAAAAUGAUGUUGUACUUAUGUCGGAUCGUCCAAAAAAGGACUAAUCGUGGCGGGUUCAACACGCAAACUUCAACGUUUUUGAAGAAUCCGAGCAACUUGAUUGUUCUUCUUUCAUGUUACUUCACUAAUAUCCAUGACUAUUCAACGACGACGACGACAACAUAAUAAGUGAAAUCCCACGAGUGGGGGUCUGACGAGUGUAGCGUGUAUGCUGACCUUACUCCUACCUCGUGGAGGUAGAGAAGCUGUCUCCGAAGGACUAACGAAUUAACGACAAAACAACAACAACAUACUAAGUGAAAUCCCACAAGUGAGGUCCGGCGAGGGGAGCGUGUACCCAGAACUUACUCCUACCUCGUCGAGGUAGAGAAGCUGUCUCCGAAGGACUAACGAAUUAACGACAAAACAACAACAACAUACUAAGUGAAAUCCCACAAGUGAGGUCCGGCGAGGGGAGCGUGUACCCAGAACUUACUCCUACCUCGUCGAGGUAGAGAAGCUGUCUCCGAAGGACUAACGAAUUAACGACAAAACAACAACAACAUACUAAGUGAAAUCCCACAAGUGAGGUCCGGCGAGGGGAGCGUGUACCCAGAACUUACUCCUACCUCGUCGAGGUAGAGAAGCUGUCUCCGAAGGGCCAACGAAUUAACGACAAAACAACAACAACAACAACAAUAACAUACUAAGUAAAAUCCAACAAGUGCGGUCCGGAGAGGGUAGCGUGUACCUAGACCUUACCCCUACCUCGUGAAGGUAGAGAAGCUGUUUCCGAAGGACCAAAGAGUUAACGACGAACGUCGAAUUAUAAACUGACAGCAAUGCUAUUACUUGUAGAAUGAUACAAUUUGUCUCAUUUACAAUCUUCAACAACCUUUCAAAAUUCUAUGAGAAAACACAUAAAACAAUGUGCAUAGCACUCUCCUAUCUAGUUACUAAAGACCGUUGCUCGGACUCUUCAAAAAUGUCAUCGGGUGCGUGUCCGAUCCUUCAAAAGUAGCGCUUUUUUGGAGGAUCCGACACGGGUGCGGCAACAUUUUUGGACAGUCCAAGCAACUUAGACUAAAGAAACCUUCUGCAGCAUUUCAAUAUGGAACAGACUAUACACAACCAUGAACAGAUGCAAACAUUAUACAAUGACGAAAAAACGAUGUACACCAGUCUUGCUGCUGUCUACAUGAUGAACUUGAUAUUCGGAUUUCUUAUAGAUUUCAGCCACAUAUCUGCCAUUACACGCGACGAUAUGCUCCAUAGCAAGUCUUGGCCUUUUAGUGGUGAAGCUUUCUUUGCUUUCUUGGCCAUUUUACCUAGUCCAUAAGCUACUAGCCAUUGCAUUGCUGUCAGUUUCUGCUUUUCUGUGUCCCAUGCGUUCUUCCUUCCUCUGCUCCUGACUUUUAGCCCGCCAAUACCAAGCGAUGCGAUUUUGAACUUCCUUUCAUCAUCAUCGAUGUUGUUAGUUUCAUCAUCGAUACGAAUGGCUUGAACUAGUACAAUCAUAGGUCCUCCAACUGCCUCGAACUGCCUCAACGGAUCCCUCAGUUGAACCACAACCAAGAUCAUUAUACUCUCGCUUUUGUCAUCUUUUGUCCAAUCUUCGAGUGGAACUGCAGAGUCUAACGUGUGAUCCUGAUCAUCUUUCUUGUUAGCAGAAUGAGGGGAAACAUCGAAAGGUGCCUCUUCUUCCGCGAUAUCUGCUUGAAUUUUCAAUGCUUCGACUGUCAUUGCCUCCAUUUUCUGCAGUGCGAAUGCUAGAAUCUCGUCCACUGUCAGCGGUUUGUCGCUGAUGUUCCAUAUCCCCGUAGAGAUCCUCUCGUUCCGACUUGUGUUCAUCGCUGCUGCCAUCGAUUUCACUACUGCAACUGUCUGAGCAGCGGUUGAGCUAGCGCCACCUUCUUUGUUCCUCCCUUGAAUAAUUGCUGAAGCAAUGCCUUCAAACGCUAUCUGCUCUGCUGUUUUGCCAACGAGUUCUUCCAUUGGCAUCAUCGAUAAGAUCUUGGACGUAAAUUCCUCUAUCCCAAUAGCUGCCAUCUUCUGGAACAACUCGAAUCCACUCACAGACGAUGGAAUCGAUGGAAGCACAAGUGGUUUCGAUAUCUGCAUCGCGAGUUUUGCUGUAUCUUUUCUCAAAACAGUAGUAUUAAGAGGAUUCAUAGCUGCCAAGAAACCUCCAUUUCUUGUUUGAACAACACAACCUAACCCCUUCGCAAGAUCCGGUAUAAAUACACCCGAUUUUCCCUUUCCGCUGUCUUCAUUUCCUCCUCCGCCUUGAAGCUUUAACGCGGGGGAUUCUUGAGUAUCCAUCUUGUACUGGUUAACGCCUGGAUCUUCGAGCAUUUGGAGGAAUUCCCUUGUCACGGUUUCCUCAUCCGCGUCCAACCUUUGCGAUUCAGAGUCAUCCUCCUCCGUCUUGACAGUGUUUUCGUCUUUAAACAUGGAUUCAAGCGCUUUGAUUUGCUGAGCUAUCGAAUCAAGCGCUGAUAAUCUUGUCAAAUGCAUCUGAUCGUGCACCACGACUUCCUUGACAACCUCAUUACUUGAUGAUACCGAUCUUUUAUCAGAAUUACCUUCCGAUCGCGCUUCUUCUUCCUCCUCCGCCUCUCCCUCUACUUCUUUUGUUGCUUCAGUUUCAACUCCUUUGUCUUGAAUUUCAAUUCCUUUAUCCACAAUAUCGAACUCGGGGAGAUCAAGAUCCUCAGCCUUCGACCCCGGCUCCUCCUUUACUGACUCGUCAUCUAGAUUCAACUCAUCGAUCCCUUGAAGAUUCGCUGUCGUUCCUGACUGUGAAGGAGUCCAAUUAGCUGAACUUAAACUGGACAUUCGUGGACUCGGCACGCUAAAAGAUGUCUUCGAUUGCUUUCUAGCAAACGAAGAUGAAGAUGAAGACGAGUAACUCUUCGCGCUCUUCGUCCCACCUUCAGCCUGAGUAUAAAUCCCAACUCCACCAUCUUUCUCCAUGAUCUGAAAUCCCAGUUUGAGUACUAACUCUCCUCCUUUCGCCUUCCCGGAGAGAGUAUAACUCGUAUCCCAUUGGCGAAUGCGACUUCCUUCAAAGCUCUUCUGAAUCGACUCCUCAAUCAUUUCACUCAGAUCGACUAUGUUCUUCCCGAAAUCCAGUUCCUCCGCGUCCACUGCAAAGACAUAUAUCGAAAAUGGACGUGGCUCAAAUUUGAAUCGAGUACCACCACCACCACUAGCCGGCGUAUAGUAAACAUGACACCUUAUAAAAAGUGUCUCUUCGAAAUCUGCAGCUCCUUGUGAAACUCGAGAUGGCAUAGUUUGCACUGCGCCGUCUUUAGUCUCUUUCUUUCUCACACAUACUGAUAGUCGUAGACCGUUCAUGGAUGUGGGUAGACCCUGAACGGUCACGACUUCAACUGAGAAUAAACAGCUCAGUUUUUGCAUACCGAUAUGAGCCAACGCUCGUAUAGGUUUCCAGUUCCACAACCCUUUCUUCUCGGCGGUUGACUCACCAGUACCCUUGCUGCUGUCUGAUUUCUUAGUUAACUUGCUGCUGCUGCUGAUGCUGGAGCUCCUGCUACUCUGCUGUUGUAUACUGUUGUCUUCACUAGGCCGAGAACGCCAAGGCGAUAAUGACAUUCGCCUUGACCUCGGCUUAGGAUUGACGAUGAUAUCAUCGUCAUUUUUAGGACCACCGGUUAAGGACUCAACGGGAGGGAUGGAAUCGCGAGGUAGGACUAAGGAAGCGGUUCUUCGAGUUGUUGUUGUUGUAGGUGGUUGAUAGAGCGUCUCACUAAGCGCUUCGAGUUCUUGCAAUAACUGUGUAUUCGAUUUCCUUCUACUCGUCGAGUAAUCCGCCAUUUGAACAAUGGAACACAAUGCCAGAAGUGUACGAUACAACAGAUAGCGCUCACCUUCUAAGAAGCGUACGAUACAACAGAUAGCGCUAAUGAUACAACAGAUAAUGCUAACCUUCUAAAGAAGUGUACGAUACAACAAAUAGCGCUAACCUUCUAAAGAAGUGUACGAUACAACAAAUAGCGCUAACCUUCUAAAGAAGUGUAUGAUACAACAUAAUGAUACAACAGACAGCGCUAACCUUCUAUCUAAGAAGUGUAUGAUACAACAGAUAACACAUCAACGCGAGUGAACUAUGUCAUAUGAAAUUCACAAUAGGAAAGAAUUUUUUUUAUUUUUUAUUUUAAAAAUUUUUUGCAAAGUAGUAAAAUGAUUGGCUAGAAAUGAUGGAAGAUAUAUGUGUGUUUGUUAGGUAAGAAGAUUGAUGGGGGCAUAUGAGGACUAAAAAAGUCUAUUGGAAUGGAUUAGUUGUUGUUUUUUGAACCAUAUAUUUGCAUGAAAUUGUUAUGUGAUGGAUAAGGCAAAAAAGUUUUGCAUCUCUUUCUUUGGGGGGUNNNNNNNNNNNNNNNNNNNNNNNNNNNNNNGGCCCAAAACUAUAUGAUAUAAGUUACGGGUUGGAUAGAACUCAAUAAUUUUAUUCUAUUCUAAACCUAGUAAGUAGGACGGGACAUAAAAUAUCGAAAAUCAAAUUACCGAACAAAACCAAAAAUUUUGAAUUUUGGUAAUUGAUAUUCGGUAAUUCGGUAUUUGUUAUGAUAUUUGAGAGUAAAAUUUCUAACAUUUUUGGAUUGGGUUUGAUACAAGAUUUUAGUACCAUUUGAUAUUCAGUAUUGACCGAAUACCGAUUUUAUAUAUAUAUAUAUAUAUAUAACUAGCCCAAUAGACAAUAGUAUUAAUCAUCUCAAAGAAUCUCUUAGACCUUAGUAAUAUAUUAGUAAAAAACAACAAAAAGAAUACUAAAUAGAAUUUCUAUUAAAUAUACUCUUUAAAGUUUAAACGUACAUUUGCAAAUCUCCAACUUUAAUAUGGUAUUACCAAAUACGAUAUCAAACCAAAGAUCAACUUACCGAUUACCGAACCGAUGUUUGUAAGUAUAGUAUGUGGUAUCUAUGUUCAAAUACCGAUUACCGAAUUACUGAAUCGAACUUUGAAAAUACCGAACCGAAUAUUGAACGUACAUCCAUACUAUUAAGUUGUCAUGUAAUGUUGAAAUUCUGAAUUUAGCUACUACUAUUACUUUAUGUUGUUAUUUAAUAUUACGGGUAGUAUGAGAAUAAAUAAUAAAAGUCUAUUUGAUUUGCGAAAAUGAAUUAAGUAAAUUGAAAUAUCUAUUUUUGAAUAGUGAAUAUGACACAAAUCUACCCUGUAUUAUGCAUAUGGAAAAGGGUCAUUUGCAAUUUUAUCUCUCAGGUAAAUAACAUUUUC
RNAcentral lists this long non-coding RNA (32634 nucleotides) under Capsicum annuum. Its description in RNAcentral is "long non-coding RNA (CANN_LNC015037)". The stretch from base 3136 to 3207 matches the Rfam family "tRNA". Lineage: Eukaryota; Viridiplantae; Streptophyta; Magnoliopsida; Solanales; Solanaceae. The record is from RNAcentral.